This 472-nucleotide ribosomal RNA is filed under the name uncultured bacterium. RNAcentral describes it as "bacterial SSU rRNA". It matches the Rfam family "Bacterial small subunit ribosomal RNA", at positions 355 to 825 of the family's 1533-position model. The record is from RNAcentral.
UGGGGAAUAUUGGACAAUGGGCGAAAGCCUGAUCCAGCGACGCCGCGUGUGUGAAGAAGGCCUGCGGGUUGUAAAGCACUUUCGAUGGGAACGAAAUGUGCCGGGUUAAUACCCCGGUAAGCUGACGUUACUCAAUGAAGAAGCACCGGCUAACUCUGUGCCAGCAGCCGCGGUAAUACGUAGGGUGCGAGCGUUAAUCGGAAUUACUGGGCGUAAAGCGUGCGCAGGCGGUUUGGUAAGACAGAUGUGAAAUCCCCGGGCUUAACCUGGGAACUGCAUUUGUGACUGCCAGACUAGAGUGUAGCAGAGGGGGGUAGAAUUCCACGUGUAGCAGUGAAAUGCGUAGAUAUGUGGAGGAAUACCGAUGGCGAAGGCAGCCCCCUGGGCUAACACUGACGCUCAUGCACGAAAGCGUGGGGAGCAAACAGGAUUAGAUACCCCUGUAGUCCCUGAGCGGGCUGGCAAGGCGCAU